GACGAACGCUGGCGGCGUGCUUAACACAUGCAAGUCGAACGGUGAAGGGACCAGCUUGCUGGUUCUGGAUGAGUGGCGAACGGGUGAGUAACACGUGAGUAACCUGCCCCCUUCUUCUGGAUAACCGCAUGAAAGUGUGGCUAAUACGGGAUAUUCUGGGUCUGUCGCAUGGCGGGCCCGGGAAAGAUAUUGCUUCGGUGGGGGAUGGGCUCGCGGCCUAUCAGCUUGUUGGUGGGGUGAUGGCCUACCAAGGCGGUGACGGGUAGCCGGCCUGAGAGGGUGGACGGUGACACUGGGACUGAGACACGGCCCAGACUCCUACGGGAGGCAGCCGUGGGGAAGAUUGCACAAUGGGCGCAAGCAUGAUGCAGCGACGCCGCGUGAGGGAUGGAGGCCUUCGGGUUGUAAACCUCUUUCGCCAGUGAAGCAGGCCUGCUCCUUGUGGGUGGGUUGACGGUAGCUGGAUAAGAAGCGCCGGCUAACUACGUG
RNAcentral lists this ribosomal RNA (489 nucleotides) under uncultured bacterium. Its description in RNAcentral is "partial 16S ribosomal RNA". It matches the Rfam family "Bacterial small subunit ribosomal RNA", at positions 28 to 507 of the family's 1533-position model. The record is from RNAcentral.